UGCUGCUCUCUGUGAAUUUUAACUGAAACUAUAACAUUUUGCAAAAUUAUGUCGUCUGUCGUUUAUAUAACCUAACGUUUUUAGUAAUAAUGGUGAGAAAUAAAAUAAAAAAUUGCUUCAAGUUUUAAUAAAUUAUAAUUCACAAUAUAUAAUACUUUAUCAACUUCCAGGUUAUUUUGUUUUGUAGAAUUCUUCAGUUGCGGCCCAUAGCAUCUGCCUGAAUUGCCGUGAUGUGCGAAAGGUGGUACAAUGCUUUGUACUCGCCGAUGCCUUAGUUCUCCGCCCCUCACCCUGGUAGCAGCCAUUCUGUUUUUCAUUCUCAUCAUGACAAAACACGCCAAGGAUAUCUACGAUAGAAAUCAAAAGAUUUACAGAAUGAACAACUAUAACGACUUUGCAAAUGAUGUACAUCAAUCAAUAAACAAUUUAGAGAGUGAAGUGAACAAGACAGCCAUGUCCCUCCAUAGGUUAACAGAAGCUCUGCGCAUGCACAAUGAUUUCAAUAAGAAGUUAAAGGAGCAUGAUGGUAUUCGGUGACACUGUCAAGGACAGAAAUACCCCAGACUUGAAAACCUACCAAGAGAAGUAAAUAUAUGGACAAAUAUCAUUCUCUUGAAUUUAUUUUUAUAUUAGAAUUUACAAUUUUGGCCUUUUUUAGAGUCUAUGAUCUAAUGUAAGGUACUUGUUAUUAAAUUAAAUCUUAGGAAUUUAUAUAUUUGUUGAUCUAUACUAAUAAUAUAUUAUCGAGAUGAGGUUGAUGCUGCUAACAGUAUUGCUUGGAGAUCUGCUGGGUUCGAGUUUUAUACAUAAUCAUCCUAUUUAUUUAUAUGUAAUGCAGACGAACGGAUUGAAUGUAACUGAUAAUAAAAGAACAUUUAUAUCUUGAA
Nilaparvata lugens (brown planthopper) is the source of this 887-nucleotide long non-coding RNA. RefSeq lists it as uncharacterized. The transcript has 4 exons. Lineage: Eukaryota; Metazoa; Arthropoda; Insecta; Hemiptera; Delphacidae. The record is from RefSeq and is a predicted model, not a curated record.